GAACGCUGGCGGUAGGCCUAACACAUGCAAGUCGAACGGCAGCACAGUAAGAGCUUGCUCUUACGGGUGGCGAGUGGCGGACGGGUGAGGAAUACAUCGGAAUCUACUUUUUCGUGGGGGAUAACGUAGGGAAACUUACGCUAAUACCGCAUACGACCUACGGGUGAAAGCAGGGGAUCUUCGGACCUUGCGCGAUUGAAUGAGCCGAUGUCGGAUUAGCUAGUUGGCGGGGUAAAGGCCCACCAAGGCGACGAUCCGUAGCUGGUCUGAGAGGAUGAUCAGCCACACUGGAACUGGGACACGGUCCAGACUCCUACGGGAGGCAGCAGUGGGGAAUAUUGGACAAUGGGCGCAAGCCUGAUCCAGCCAUACCGCGUGGGUGAAGAAGGCCUUCGGGUUGUAAAGCCCUUUUGUUGGGAAAGAAAAGCAGCAGGUUAAUACCCCGCUGUUCUGACGGUACCCAAAGAAUAAGCACCGGCUAACUUCGUG
Molecule: ribosomal RNA, 489 nt
Filed under: uncultured bacterium
Lineage: Bacteria
Description: partial 16S ribosomal RNA
Rfam family: Bacterial small subunit ribosomal RNA
Source: RNAcentral